UCAUGAAAAAAGGUCAUAGUAUGUUGUCCAAAAUCAUGAAAAAAGUCAUAGUAUAGUAUGUCGUCCAAAAUCAUGAAAAAAGUCAUAGUAUGUUGUCCAAAAUCAUGAAAAAAGUCAUAGUAUAGUAUGUUGUCCAAAAUCAUGAAAAAAGGUCAUAGUAUGUUGUCCAAAAUCAUGAAAAAAGUCAUAGUAUAGUAUGUCGUCCAAAAUCAUGAAAAAAGUCAUAGUAUAGUAUGUUGUCCAAAAUCAUGAAAAAAGGUCAUAGUAUGUUGUCCAAAAUCAUGAAAAAAGUCAUAGUAUAGUAUGUCGUCCAAAAUCAUGAAAAAAGUCAUAGUAUAGUAUGUUGUCCAAAAUCAUGAAAAAAGGUCAUAGUAUAGUAUGUUGUCCAAAAUCAUGAAAAAAAGUCAUAGUAUGUUGUCCAAAAUCAUGAAAAAAGUCAUAGUAUAGUAUGUCGUCCAAAAUCAUGAAAAAAGUCCUAGUAUAGUAUGUUGUCCAAAAUCAUGAAAAAAGGUCAUAGUAUGUUGUCCAAAAUCAUGAAAAAAGUCAUAGUAUAGUAUGUCGUCCAAAAUCAUGAAAAAAGUCAUAGUAUAGUAUGUUGUCCAAAAUCAUGAAAAAAGUCAUAGUAUAGUAUGUUGUCCAAAAUCAUGAAAAAAGGUCAUAGUAUGUUGUCCAAAAUCAUGAAAAAAGUCAUAGUAUAGUAUGUCGUCCAAAAUCAUGAAA
Epinephelus fuscoguttatus (brown-marbled grouper) is the source of this 720-nucleotide long non-coding RNA. RefSeq lists it as uncharacterized. The transcript has 3 exons. Lineage: Eukaryota; Metazoa; Chordata; Actinopteri; Perciformes; Serranidae. The record is from RefSeq and is a predicted model, not a curated record.